GAUGAACGCUGGCGGCGUGCUUAACACAUGCAAGUCGAACGAUGAAGCCCAGCUUGCUGGGUGGAUUAGUGGCGAACGGGUGAGUAACACGUGAGUAACCUGCCCUUGACCCUGGGAUAAGCCUGGGAAACUGGGUCUAAUACUGGAUAUGACUUCUCAUCGCAUGGUGGGGGGUGGAAAGAUUUAUUGGUCUUGGAUGGACUCGCGGCCUAUCAGCUUGUUGGUGAGGUAAUGGCUCACCAAGGCGACGACGGGUAGCCGGCCUGAGAGGGUGACCGGCCACACUGGGACUGCGACACGGCCCAGACUCCUACGUGAGGCAGCAGUGGGGAAUAUUGCACAAUGGGCGCAAGCCUGAUGCAGCGACGCCGCGUGAGGGAUGACGGCCUUCGGGUUGUAAACCUCUUUCAGUAGGGAAGAAGCGAGAGUGACGGUACCUGCAGAAGAAGCGCCGGCUAACUACGUG
This 466-nucleotide ribosomal RNA is filed under the name uncultured bacterium. RNAcentral's name for it is "partial 16S ribosomal RNA". It matches the Rfam family "Bacterial small subunit ribosomal RNA", at positions 28 to 507 of the family's 1533-position model. The record is from RNAcentral.